GCUGGGUGUGGUGGUGCACACCUGUAAUCCCAGCAGUUUGGGAGGCUGAGGCAGGAGGAACAUAAAUUCAAGUCCAACCUCAG
RNAcentral lists this small RNA (83 nucleotides) under Marmota monax (woodchuck). The record is from RNAcentral. Lineage: Eukaryota; Metazoa; Chordata; Mammalia; Rodentia; Sciuridae.